Molecule: ribosomal RNA, 253 nt
Filed under: uncultured bacterium
Lineage: Bacteria
Description: partial 16S ribosomal RNA
Rfam family: Bacterial small subunit ribosomal RNA
Source: RNAcentral
UACGUAGGGUGCAAGCGUUGUUCGGAAUUACUGGGCGUAAAGGGCGCGCAGGCGGCUCGUUUUGUCAGGCGUGAAAGCCCCGGGCUUAACCUGGGAACUGCGUUUGAUACGGACGGGCUAGAGUUCGGGAGAGGAGAGUGGAAUUCCCAGUGUAGAGGUGAAAUUCGUAGAUAUUCGGAAGAACACCAGUGGCGAAGGCGGCUCACUGGACUGGUAUUGACGCUGAGGUGCGAAAGCGUGGGGAGCAAACAGG